CACCAGUGAAAGAGGGGAAGUUGCUACUGUGAUGAAUUCUGCCAUGUGGUACCAGACUGCUGCCCAGACCACAGUGUCCUCUGCAACCCUGGUAACUCACAUACAGGCCUGAUUCCACCUACAGCAAAGCUGGAUGCUAUGGUUGGCAGAGGCAAGCCCCUUGCCUGCACUUCAGGCCAAAGCCGGGAUGUGGCCUAGAUGGUUCCUAAGCUUCUCAGAUGACCAAGAUGGUGCUGCCGAUGGUGUUGAGGACGGAGAACCCACCAAGCCCCGUUAGGAGCCACCUAGACUGGAUGCAGAGCACAGACAAUUUGCUGAGGUCUGGGAGCACCCCCUCCAGAGAGUCCCUGAUCUCUCACAACUUGGUCGUGAUCUAAAGUUUAUUUGAUGUACAACUCCCCCUCCCCUUCUUUUGGAGUUUUAUUUGCUUCCAAGAAGGAAGGCAAGAUUUCCUGGGUCCGUGAUGAUGGAAGGCUGACAACUCUUUUAUGGAUUUUGAGCUUGCUCCCAG
RNAcentral lists this long non-coding RNA (511 nucleotides) under Pongo abelii (Sumatran orangutan). RNAcentral describes it as "lincRNA". Lineage: Eukaryota; Metazoa; Chordata; Mammalia; Primates; Hominidae. The record is from RNAcentral.